RNAcentral lists this ribosomal RNA (403 nucleotides) under uncultured bacterium. RNAcentral's name for it is "bacterial SSU rRNA". It matches the Rfam family "Bacterial small subunit ribosomal RNA", at positions 355 to 774 of the family's 1533-position model. The record is from RNAcentral.
UGGGGGAUAUUGCACAAUGGGGGAAACCCUGAUGCAGCGACGCCGCGUGAGGGAAGAAGGUUUUCGGAUUGUAAACCUCUGUCAUUCGGGAAGAGAAGAAGACGGUACCGAAUGAGGAAGCUACGGCUAACUACGUGCCAGCAGCCGCGGUAAUACGUAGGUAGCAAGCGUUGUCCGGAAUUACUGGGUGUAAAGGGAGCGUAGGCGGGAAGGCAGGCCAGCUGUUUAAACUAUGGGCUCAACCCAUAAGCGCAGUUGGAACCGUUUUUCUUGAGUGGAGUAGAGGCAGAUGGAAUUCCUAGUGUAGCGGUGGAAUGCGUAGAUAUUAGGAGGAACACCAGUGGCGAAGGCGGUCUGCUGGGCUUUAACUGACGCUGAGGCUCGAAAGCGUGGGGAGCAAACA